GACGCAACGCGAAGAACCUUACCAAGGCUUGACAUAUACCGGAAAGCAUUAGAGAUAGUGCCCCCCUUGUGGUCGGUAUACAGGUGGUGCAUGGCUGUCGUCAGCUCGUGUCGUGAGAUGUUGGGUUAAGUCCCGCAACGAGCGCAACCCUUGUCCUGUGUUGCCAGCAUGCCCUUCGGGGUGAUGGGGACUCACAGGAGACCGCCGGGGUCAACUCGGAGGAAGGUGGGGACGACGUCAAGUCAUCAUGCCCCUUAUGUCUUGGGCUGCACACGUGCUACAAUGGCCGGUACAAUGAGCUGCGAUACCGUGAGG
This 315-nucleotide ribosomal RNA is filed under the name Streptomyces sp. Its description in RNAcentral is "bacterial SSU rRNA". It matches the Rfam family "Bacterial small subunit ribosomal RNA", at positions 953 to 1262 of the family's 1533-position model. The record is from RNAcentral. Lineage: Bacteria; Bacillati; Actinomycetota; Actinomycetes; Kitasatosporales; Streptomycetaceae.